UAAACUAGGAUUAGAUACCCUAUUAUACCAGUUUUAGAAGGUAUUACUUGGGUAGUAAACAGUUAAGAACUUGAAAUCUAAAAAAUUUGGCGGUAUUUUAGUCUAUUUAGAGGAACCUGUUCUGUAAACGAUAAACCGCGUAGUAUCUCACUUUACUUGGUUUAGUUUGUAUACCGCCAUAAUCUGGAUUUGUUUUAAAACAAAUUCCAAAAGAGAUAAUUAACUAAAACAUUAGGUCAAGGUGCAGCUCAUAGUAAAGUAGUUAAUGGGUUACAAUAUGACUAACAUAACACGAAAGGCGGUCUGAAAAAGCUCCGGAAGGCGGAUUUAAUAGUAAUGCUCAAUUUAACAUGAGAUCAUGAACGAGCUCUAAAAUAUGUACACAUCGCCCGCUCUAGA
Molecule: ribosomal RNA, 399 nt
Filed under: Philarius imperialis
Lineage: Eukaryota; Metazoa; Arthropoda; Malacostraca; Decapoda; Palaemonidae
Description: partial 12S ribosomal RNA
Source: RNAcentral